RNAcentral lists this transfer RNA (72 nucleotides) under Gigantactis vanhoeffeni. RNAcentral describes it as "tRNA-Asp". It matches the Rfam family "tRNA". From Rfam's summary of the family: Transfer RNA (tRNA) molecules are approximately 80 nucleotides in length. Lineage: Eukaryota; Metazoa; Chordata; Actinopteri; Lophiiformes; Gigantactinidae. The record is from RNAcentral.
AAGACACUAGUAAAACAGAUAUUACACUGCCUUGUCAAGGCCAUGUUGUGGGUUGAACCCCCACGUGUCUUG